GAGACACCUCUGGGGAGCCCCUUGGUAGGGGUACAAAGAUCGUUCUCUAUCUUAAGGAGGACCAGCUUGAGUAUCUUGAGGAGCGCUGCCUCAAGGAUUUGGUCAAGAAGCACUCUGAGUUCAUCAGCUACCCAAUCUCCCUCUGGAUUGAGAAGACUACUGAGAAGGAGAUUUCUGAUGACGAGGAUGAAGAAGAAAAAAAGGAUGAGGAAGGAAAGGUAGAGGAUGUUGAUGAAGAGAAGGAGAAGGAAGAGAAGAAAAAGAAGAAGAUCAAGGAGGUGUCCCACGAGUGGUCUUUGGUGAACAAGCAGAAACCCAUCUGGAUGAGGAAGCCUGAUGAGAUUACCAAGGAGGAGUAUGCUGCUUUCUACAAGAGCCUUACCAAUGACUGGGAGGAGCACUUGGCUGUCAAGCACUUUUCAGUUGAGGGACAGCUUGAGUUCAAGGCCAUCCUCUUUGUUCCCAAGAGGGCUCCUUUUGAUCUCUUUGACACGAAGAAGAAGCCCAACAACAUCAAGCUCUAUGUCCGUCGUGUAUUCAUCAUGGACAACUGUGAGGAUUUGAUUCCCGAGUACCUUAGCUUUGUCAAGGGUAUUGUGGAUUCGGAGGAUCUUCCUCUCAACAUCUCCAGAGAAAUGUUGCAGCAAAACAAGAUCCUCAAAGUCAUCCGCAAGAACUUGGUGAAGAAAUGCCUCGAGCUCUUCUUUGAGAUUGCUGAAAACAAGGAAGAUUACAACAAGUUUUACGAGUCCUUCUCUAAGAACCUCAAGCUUGGUAUCCAUGAGGAUUCCUCGAACAAGUCAAAGCUUGCUGAGUUGCUCAGAUAUCACUCUACUAAGAGUGGUGACGAGCUGACUAGCUUGAAAGACUAUGUGACAAGGAUGAAGGAGGGCCAGAGUGACAUUUACUACAUCACUGGUGAGAGCAAGAAGGCUGUUGAGAACUCACCGUUCCUUGAGAAGUUGAAGAAGAAGGGCUAUGAAGUUCUCUACAUGGUCGACGCCAUUGAUGAGUACGCCGUGGGCCAACUCAAGGAAUUUGAGGGCAAGA
RNAcentral lists this long non-coding RNA (1050 nucleotides) under Populus trichocarpa (black cottonwood). RNAcentral's name for it is "long non-coding RNA (PTRI_LNC000516)". The record is from RNAcentral. Lineage: Eukaryota; Viridiplantae; Streptophyta; Magnoliopsida; Malpighiales; Salicaceae.